GGAGAUCUGGCUCAGUGGUUAAGAGCACUGACUACUCUUCCAGAGGUCAUGAGUUCAAUCCCCAGCACCCACA
This 73-nucleotide transfer RNA is filed under the name Mus musculus (house mouse). RNAcentral describes it as "tRNA-Ser". The record is from RNAcentral. Lineage: Eukaryota; Metazoa; Chordata; Mammalia; Rodentia; Muridae.